Long non-coding RNA from Cimex lectularius (bed bug), 1938 nucleotides. RefSeq lists it as uncharacterized. The record is from RefSeq and is a predicted model, not a curated record. The transcript has 2 exons. Lineage: Eukaryota; Metazoa; Arthropoda; Insecta; Hemiptera; Cimicidae.
AUAGCUGAAAAUUAUGUAGUAACAAUUGCAUAAAUCACAUCUGAAGUUCAAUGGACAGAUCAACAUUAAAAACUGCUUACUAAAUACUACACAUUAAAAACACUGUUUAAGCAUUACUUCAUAUUGACAAACUUAGUUUUUUAAACCAUUUGUUUGUUAAUGAACAGAAAAAGCAUUAUGCCUUAAACGACAAAAAUAUUACAGCAAUGACUAUAGUGUUACUUCAUGUUGUCAACGCCAGAAAGUCAAAAAUUCAAACUGGUCAUAUCACAAAUAAUCCACAUCAGAGAAUGUACAAAUCUAAUUUUUUUUACUCAAGAGACUAGAAAUUUAAUGUAUAUAAUGAAUGUUGGAGAUUCAUUGAUGUCAAAUUAAGUACAUAUUAGAUUUUUUUCAAUUUUCUUCAUCUUCAGUCAAUACCUAAAUUAUCAGUGUUUUCAAACUUCAAAUUGGGUCAAAUACUGUAUAAAUUUAGAAAUUCUUAACAUUGAUUACCUGGCUGAAGAUCAGUGAACUUCAGUUGUUAUUAGGCUGAAGGCAAAAUUAACUCUUCAGUGGGUGAAAUUAAAAAAAAAUGUUUUGAAAUAACCAAGAUGAUUCAGCAGUGUCAAAUUUAGAGCAUAUAGGCUUUUUCAAUUUUAUAAAUUUAUUACCUUACUAUAUAAAUUAAGGCAGUGUUUUCAAAUUUCAAAUUUGAAUACUGUAUAAACAUAGCCAUUCUUAGUGGGAAAUGGUUUACAUCAACAGAGAUAAACACAGCAUCAGACAGAACAGAUAUAUGUAAACUCAGCUGCAGCUAUGCUAAUAUCAUAAAUAAAAUUCGACAUCAAUCAUCCUGGCUGAAGAACAAUUACUUCAGGCAUGAACCGGCUGAAGACCUAACAGUAUAAUUGACACUCCAGUGGAUGAAAUUUAAAAAAAAUGUUUUUAAACAACUGUUUCAAAUUUAGCACACAGACUUUUUCAGUGUUUUCAAACUUCAAAUUGGAUCAAAUAGUGUAUAUGCUGCUAACUUUUUAUAUAACAUGGAUAAAGAUUCGUUAACUUCUGGCAUGUGCAAGCUGAAGACCUAUCAGCAGAAUUGAGACUCCAGUUUAUGUCAUUGCGAACAGAAAUAUGUAGAAAUGAAAAAGUUAUUAGGAAGGAGGGCAUAAGUAACCUACCUACGAACAAACCCAUUGAACAACCGAUUUAUAUUCGGCCGAACAUCAUAUGCACUCACCCUAACCGAAAUUUAUGGGCUCAUGCCUUAACCCUAGAUUGUUCCGACCUAGAAGAUAGAACAUUCGGGAAUUCGUGACAACGACGUGAAGAAUUUCAGAAUCUUGUCUUCUUUCUUCUGUGUAAGAAUCACAAUCGUGUGAUUCGUGUGACAAUAGAAAAUCGACUGAACGUGUAAGAAGUUUAACAAGAGGUUCGGACUGUUAAUGGGAUUCGUUGCAUUGUGACCGAAGAGUCAAUCCUAAGUUGAAAAAUGGGUGAAAAGUUAAAUGAACAACUUAACUAUUGACAUACCUGUCUUGUUCCGGUCGUUUCGGAUUCCUGAUAUUUCUUCCCUUCCAGCCUCUCCAUUAUGCAGUCUUCUUCAUCCGAGUGUGGACCCUUGGAUUUUCUCUUAUUGUUGAAAAUACGCGAAAACGCGUUCCACAUGAAAACUUCACGGCUCGGAUAUCAUAAUAGGCCCCGUCGUCCGAGGGUAAUCGUCUCUUCGAUGUUUAACUUUUCUCGUUCGCACCUAUCAUGACACGUUAGGUUAUGCUCGGGAAAAGUCGCUGAUAAAUUGGCCGAAUCGCUUACCGGCGAGAAGGGAGGACAACGUUGGAUUUUUCAACGGGGUGAAACUUAAGAAUCGACGAACGCAGGGACAAACGGAAAAAAACGAAAUAAAUCAACGAUUGGGACUUAUCAAAAGGUGAAAAGUUGGAGAAAUCACAUAAC